AGGGGGGGUGCUACACAUGCAGUCGAACGAUGAACCUCCUUCGGGAGGGGAUUAGUGGCGAACGGGUGAGUAACACGUGGGCAAUCUGCCCUUCACUCUGGGACAAGCCCUGGAAACGGGGUCUAAUACCGGAUACGAGCCUGAGAGGCAUCUCUCGGGUUGGAACGCCCCCUUGGUGAAGGAUGAGCCCGCGGCCUAUCAGCUUGUUGGUGAGGUAAUGGCUCACCAAGGCGACGACGGGUAGCCGGCCUGAGAGGGCGACCGGCCACACUGGGACUGAGACACGGCCCAGACUCAUACGGGAGGCAGCAGUGGGGAAUAUUGCACAAUGGGCGAAAGCCUGAUGCAGCGACGCCGCGUGAGGGAUGACGGCCUUCGGGUUGUAAACCUCUUUCAGCAGGGAAGAAGCGAGAGUGACGGUACCUGCAGAAGAAGCGCCGGCUAACUACGUGCCAGCAGCCGCGGUAAUACGUAGGGCGCAAGCGUUGUCCGGAAUUAUUGGGCGUAAAGAGCUCGUAGGCGGCUUGUCACGUCGAUUGUGAAAGCCCGAGGCUUAACCUCGGGUCUGCAGUCGAUACGGGCUAGCUAGAGUGUGGUAGGGGAGAUCGGAAUUCCUGGUGUAGCGGUGAAAUGCGCAGAUAUCAGGAGGAACACCGGUGGCGAAGGCUGGAUCUCUGGCAGUUACUUGUAAUGCUUGAGGAGCGAAGCGUGGGGAGCGACAGGAUUAGAUACCCUGGUAGUCACGCGUAACGGUGGGAACUAGGUGUUGCGACAUUCACGUCGUCGGUGCGCAGCUAACGCAUAGGUCCGCUUGGGAGUA
RNAcentral lists this ribosomal RNA (820 nucleotides) under Streptomyces sp. D128. RNAcentral's name for it is "bacterial SSU rRNA". It matches the Rfam family "Bacterial small subunit ribosomal RNA", at positions 37 to 882 of the family's 1533-position model. Lineage: Bacteria; Bacillati; Actinomycetota; Actinomycetes; Kitasatosporales; Streptomycetaceae. The record is from RNAcentral.